Molecule: small nuclear RNA, 108 nt
Organism: Ailuropoda melanoleuca (giant panda)
Lineage: Eukaryota; Metazoa; Chordata; Mammalia; Carnivora; Ursidae
Source: Ensembl
GUGCUCGCUUUGGCAGCACAUAUUCCAAAACUGGAAUGAUGCAGAGAAGAUUAGCGUGGCCCCUGCGCAAGGAUGACAUGCAAACACACACACACACACACACACAUA